RNAcentral lists this ribosomal RNA (253 nucleotides) under uncultured bacterium. RNAcentral describes it as "partial 16S ribosomal RNA". It matches the Rfam family "Bacterial small subunit ribosomal RNA", at positions 524 to 776 of the family's 1533-position model. The record is from RNAcentral.
GACAGAGGGGGCAAGCGUUGCUCGGAAUCACUGGGCGUAAAGGGCGCGUAGGCGGGAUGGCAAGUCGGUCGUGAAAUCCCUGGGCUCAACUCAGGGGGGUCGGCCGAUACUGCCGUUCUUGAGGGAUGCAGAGGAGACUGGAAUUCCCGGUGUAGCGGUGAAAUGUGUAGAGAUCGGGAGGAACACCGGUGGCGAAGGCGGCUACCUGGACCAGCACUGACACUGAGGCACGAAAGCGUGGGGAGCAAACAGG